RNAcentral lists this ribosomal RNA (462 nucleotides) under uncultured Methanolinea sp. RNAcentral describes it as "bacterial SSU rRNA". It matches the Rfam family "Archaeal small subunit ribosomal RNA", at positions 877 to 1338 of the family's 1478-position model. The record is from RNAcentral. Lineage: Archaea; Methanobacteriati; Methanobacteriota; Methanomicrobia; Methanomicrobiales; Methanoregulaceae.
CGACCACAACGGGUGGAGCCUGCGGUUUAAUUGGACUCAACGCCGGGCAGCUCACCGGAUAAGACAGCUGGAUGAUAGCCGGGCUGAAGACUCUGCUUGACUAGCUGAGAGGAGGUGCAUGGCCGUCGUCAGUUCGUACUGUGAAGCAUCCUGUUAAGUCAGGCAACGAGCGAGACCCACGCCAACAGUUGCCAGCAUGUCCUCCGGGAUGAUGGGGACACUGUUGGGACCGCUCUGCUAAAGAGGAGGAGGGAAUGGGCAACGGUAGGUCAGCAUGCCCCGAAUUAUCCGGGCUACACGCGGGCUACAAUGGUCAGGACAAUGGGUAUCGACACCGAGAGGUGGAGGCAAUCUCCUAAACCUGUCCUUAGUUCGGAUUGUGGGCUGCAACUCGCCCACAUGAAGCUGGAAUCCGUAGUAAUCGCGUUUCAAAAUAGCGCGGUGAAUAUGUCCCUGCUCCUU